UUCCGGUUGAAUCCUGCCGGAGGCCAUUGCUAUGGGGAUCCGAUUUAGCCAUGCUAGUCGCACGAGCUUAGACUCGUGGCAGAUAGCUCAGUAACACGUGGCCAAACUACCCUCUGGACGAGAAUACCCUCGGGAAACUGAGGCUAAUACUCGAUACUACUCCUGCCCUGGAAUGGACGGAGAGCCAAACGCUCCGGCGCCAGAGGCUGUGGCUGCGGCCGAUUAGGUAGACGGUGGGGUAACGGCCCACCGUGCCAGUAAUCGGUACGGGUUGUGAGAGCAAGAGCCCGGAGACGGUAUCUGAGACAAGAUACCGGGCCCUACGGGGCGCAGCAGGCGCGAAACCUUUACACUGCACGACAGUGCGAUAAGGGGAUCCCCAGUGCGAGGGCAUACAGUCCUCGCUUUUCACCACCGUACGAUGGUGGUGGAACAAGAGCUGGGCAAGACCGGUGCCAGCCGCCGCGGUAAUACCGGCAGCUCAAGUGAUGGCCGUUCUUAUUGGGCCUAAAGCGUCCGUAGCCGGCCACGCAAGUUCGUCGGGAAAUCCACACGCUCAACGUGUGGGCGUCCGGCGAAACCUGCGUGGCUUGGGACCGGACGGCCCGAGGGGUACGGCCGGGGUAGGAGUGAAAUCCUGUAAUCCCGGCCGGACCACCGGUGGCGAAAGCGCCUCGGGAGGACGGAUCCGACGGUGAGGGACGAAAGCCAGGGUCACGAACCGGAUUAGAUACCCGGGUAGUCCUGGCCGUAAACGAUGCCCGUUAGGUGGGCGUAGGCUACGAGC
This 787-nucleotide ribosomal RNA is filed under the name Natronoarchaeum rubrum. RNAcentral describes it as "bacterial SSU rRNA". It matches the Rfam family "Archaeal small subunit ribosomal RNA", at positions 1 to 790 of the family's 1478-position model. Lineage: Archaea; Methanobacteriati; Methanobacteriota; Halobacteria; Halobacteriales; Natronoarchaeaceae. The record is from RNAcentral.